Trichonephila clavipes is the source of this 69-nucleotide non-coding RNA. NCBI's taxonomy places the organism in Eukaryota, Metazoa, Arthropoda, Arachnida, Araneae, Nephilidae. The record is from the annotation of a GenBank genome assembly.
GCAAUCAUAGCUCAGUGGCAGAGCACUGGUCUUGUAAACCAUGGUUCGAUGCUCAAUGGUAACUUUGCA